UGCCCAGAUCAGCGCCUGAUAUAUACUUGGCACACAAUAACCACUCUUGAAAUUCAUGAAGGAAUCUGGACAUUUAGGGGGUUCACAGAAUCCGCCGCUUUUAGGGAAGAUUCUCUGCCUGAUGUGUGAGCGCUCUAACCUCUUCAUCUGUGUUCAGUCCCCUUGCAAUGCUUCUCUAAGAUCAAUAAAGGCAAAAACCAGGAGAUCCCAUAAAUCCCGCUGAGCCUGUCAUAGCUAUCAAAUUAUACCCAGAUAAAGCUUCUGGUGGCUAAUGACAUGGCCAUCACCCAGCGUGGACGUGGGCAGGAGGGGCUCUCCGGGAGCAUCUGGUCUGCUGUGGAGACACUUGUCAUCUGGAGGCUCUGUGGCUCUAAUGGAGGGUGAUGCUUUGAACGCGACUAUCUCCC
This 407-nucleotide long non-coding RNA is filed under the name Homo sapiens (human). RNAcentral's name for it is "non-protein coding LINC01672:20". The record is from RNAcentral. Lineage: Eukaryota; Metazoa; Chordata; Mammalia; Primates; Hominidae.